UAAUUGGUCCUGCCCCAGCGUACUCAUUUGACAGGUCGUUUACCCUCAUGGUCUAUAUUUUUUCAGGUCAAAUGCAGGUGCCACACUGAGUUAUGGCCUUGACUUCCACAGCCUCAUUCCACUCAGGAUGAAACGUGAUUGGUUCCUGCGGCGAACAGAAGUGACAGAACUGCAGGGACAAGGAACAAGGAGGCGACCCACGUAACCCUUGACAGAUGCUGACAUAGGCGGUGGCCUUGGACUUCAAACAUUUAUUUUACUGAUGAAGAAAGAGGCUCAGAGAAGCCAAGAGACCAGUCAGUCAGUGCCAGAAAUGGGACUGGAUCUGCCUCCUGAUCCCAAAGCUUCACGAAUUCAUAUACUUCAGAGAUGUGUUUGGCCAGAGUCCCCUAAGACAGGCCUGCUGGUGGAGCUCCAAGAUACCACUGAGAAGAGAAGAUUGACUGAAUAGUUAGAGGAAGAACUAAGAACUGAAAAGUUCUUAGAGGAAUCAGAACUGAAGGCAGCAAGGUCCUGGGAGUAAUCAGCACAGAGGCAAGGAUGGCGCCCACACAACUAGGUCAGGCUGCAGAGUGAGCUCACGGGGGAUGCUGGAGGAGACAGUUAGAAGUGAUUGGAGAUAAGGAGACAAACUGUACGGAGAGCUGGCCCUGCUCAGGAAGAGAAAAGGGCACCUGCACUGCAAUCGCCACUUUCAGGAAAUGUGGGACCUCAUGGAAAGAACCUAGUCCCUUAGAACUAAAAGGCUUGGAGAUGGAGCUUUGAUUCUAUGGGAGGCAGCGCAAAGGAGGAACCAGGGAGUGUGGUUCCUUCCUCAUGGGACAAACACACUGUGAGGAAGGAAUUCGGUUGUGUCUGUAACCUAAUGCCGAGUGCCUCCCCUACAGCUUCCUUCCUGUGCACACAGGAGUCUGAGGCCACUGGUGCCGGUGGGGCCAUUUUACACUCUCCAGCCUUCUGGCCCAAAGAAACCCAGCAAAACAGGAGUGGAGGCUAGGGAGCAAUGCACUGGGCUGGGGAGGCCUCAUCCACAGAGAA
Molecule: long non-coding RNA, 1038 nt
Organism: Rhinopithecus roxellana (golden snub-nosed monkey)
Lineage: Eukaryota; Metazoa; Chordata; Mammalia; Primates; Cercopithecidae
Exons: 3
Source: RefSeq, a predicted model, not a curated record